AUGUGUCCUCAAGCCGUCCACCCGUUUGAUUUCUGGACCCAUAUUUUAAUGGUUCUCUUGCAGGAAGUUGGUGACAAGUUAGUAGAACUUAUAGAAAUGCCGCUUUCAUUAGACAAUGACAUGCCAAAGACGCCACUGCCUAAGUUUUUAUUACAAUUGGUCGAGCUACAACGAGUGCGUCUGAUUCCAACUCAUCAAGGCGAGCUCCCUCUUUUAUUCUUCUCAGGUGUUGGUCAGGAGCUGAUUGCCGGGACUGAUGACAAGAACGGAGAGCAGGAUGAGUAUGUCAACAUGAUGUUCCUUGAUGUUGGCCUUCUUUUAUAA
RNAcentral lists this ribosomal RNA (324 nucleotides) under Triticum aestivum (bread wheat). RNAcentral's name for it is "partial small subunit ribosomal RNA". The record is from RNAcentral. Lineage: Eukaryota; Viridiplantae; Streptophyta; Magnoliopsida; Poales; Poaceae.